UACGUAGGGUGCGAGCGUUAAUCGGAAUUACUGGGCGUAAAGCGUGCGCAGGCGGUUCGUUGUGUCGGCGGUGAAAGCCCCGGGCUUAACCUGGGAAUGGCCGUUGAAACUGGCGAACUGGAGUGUGGCAGAGGGGGGUGGAAUUCCACGUGUAGCAGUGAAAUGCGUAGAGAUGUGGAGGAAUACCGAUGGCGAAGGCAGCCCCCUGGGCCAAUACUGACGCUCAUGCACGAAAGCGUGGGGAGCAAACAGG
Molecule: ribosomal RNA, 253 nt
Filed under: uncultured bacterium
Lineage: Bacteria
Description: partial 16S ribosomal RNA
Rfam family: Bacterial small subunit ribosomal RNA
Source: RNAcentral